RNAcentral lists this non-coding RNA (27 nucleotides) under Bombyx mori (domestic silkworm). The record is from RNAcentral. Lineage: Eukaryota; Metazoa; Arthropoda; Insecta; Lepidoptera; Bombycidae.
UGUUUGACGGCAAUUGAUAGGGUUUCC